GACGAACGCUGGCGGCGUGCUUAACACAUGCAAGUCGAACGGGAAGGCCCUGCUUUUGUGGGGUGCUCGAGUGGCGAACGGGUGAGUAACACGUGAGUAACCUGCCCUUGACUUUGGGAUAACUUCAGGAAACUUGGGCUAAUACCGGAUAGGAGCUCCUGCUGCAUGGUGGGGGUUGGAAAGUUUCGGCGGUUGGGGAUGGACUCGCGGCUUAUCAGCUUGUUGGUGGGGUAGUGGCUUACCAAGGCUUUGACGGGUAGCCGGCCUGAGAGGGUGACCGGCCACAUUGGGACUGAGAUACGGCCCAGACUCCUCCGGGAGGCAGCAGUGGGGAAUAUUGCACAAUGGGCGGAAGCCUGAUGCAGCCACGCCGCGUGCGGGAUGACGGCAUUCGGGUUGUAAACCGCUUUCGCCUGUGACGAAGCGUGAGUGACGGUAAUGGGUAAAGAAGCACCGGCUAACUACGUG
RNAcentral lists this ribosomal RNA (468 nucleotides) under uncultured bacterium. RNAcentral's name for it is "partial 16S ribosomal RNA". It matches the Rfam family "Bacterial small subunit ribosomal RNA", at positions 28 to 507 of the family's 1533-position model. The record is from RNAcentral.